GGAUCCCGGGGUUCCCGAAACGUUUGGAUCGGAGCGGCAACCAAAAUCAGUGAGUAAUAGCAUACAAAACUGGCCGGAAUAGGCCAAAACUGCGAGUUUUCAUGAUUUCCCCAUAACCGGACCUCGGGGUUCCCGAAACGUUCGGAUCACAACGGGACCCAAAAUCAAUGACUAAUAGCAUACAAAACUGACGGGAAUAGGCCAAAACUGCGAGUUUUGACGAGUUCCACGUAAUCGGUCCCCGGGGUUACCAAAUCGUUCGGAUCGCAGCGGGAACCAAAAUCAGUGAGUAAUAGCAUACAAAACUGGCAGGAAUAAGCCAGAACUGCGACUUUCCAUGAGUUCCACGUAAUCGGACCCCGGGGUUCCCAAAACGUUCGGAUCACAGCGGGACCCAAAAUCAGUGAGUGAUAGCAUACAAAACUGGCCAAAAUAGACCAAAAGUACGAGUUUUGACGAGUUCCCCGUAACCGGACCCCGGGGUUCCCGAAAUGUUUGGAUCGCAGCGGCAACCAAAAUCAGUG
This 524-nucleotide long non-coding RNA is filed under the name Hordeum vulgare. RNAcentral's name for it is "long non-coding RNA (HVUL_LNC021731)". Lineage: Eukaryota; Viridiplantae; Streptophyta; Magnoliopsida; Poales; Poaceae. The record is from RNAcentral.